GGAAUCUUCGGCAAUGGGGGCAACCCUGACCGAGCAACGCCGCGUGAGUGAAGAAGGUUUUCGGCUCGUAAAGCUCUGUUGUUAGAGAAGAACGUGCGUGAGAGCAACUGUUCACGCAGUGACGGUAUCUAACCAGAAAGUCACGGCUAACUACGUGCCAGCAGCCGCGGUAAUACGUAGGUGGCAAGCGUUAUCCGGAUUUAUUGGGCGUAAAGCGAGCGCAGGCGGUUUGAUAAGUCUGAUGUGAAAGCCUUCGGCUUAACCGAAGAAGUGCAUCGGAAACUGGGAAACUUGAGUGCAGAAGAGGACAGUGGAACUCCAUGUGUAGCGGUGAAAUGCGUAGAUAUAUGGAAGAACACCAGUGGCGAAGGCGGCUGUCUGGUCUGUAACUGACGCUGAGGCUCGAAAGCAUGGGUAGCGAACA
This 424-nucleotide ribosomal RNA is filed under the name uncultured Lactobacillus sp. Its description in RNAcentral is "bacterial SSU rRNA". It matches the Rfam family "Bacterial small subunit ribosomal RNA", at positions 358 to 774 of the family's 1533-position model. Lineage: Bacteria; Bacillati; Bacillota; Bacilli; Lactobacillales; Lactobacillaceae. The record is from RNAcentral.